UUUAUUUAUUUAUAGUGCUUCAGAAGACACGUUACAGAAGAGUUUUUGGGUGCUUUCGGCAGGCCUUGUAGCGCCCCGCCCUGGGGCGGCCUGCCGAGGCAACACAUAUAGUUAAGUCCACAGUGGUUUGGAGUUUUGCAACUCAGUAAUGAUCCCUCCGCUGGUUCACCAACGGAGA
Molecule: unclassified non-coding RNA, 178 nt
Filed under: uncultured fungus
Lineage: Eukaryota; Fungi
Description: sequence contains ITS1
Source: RNAcentral